Molecule: ribosomal RNA, 304 nt
Filed under: uncultured bacterium
Lineage: Bacteria
Description: bacterial SSU rRNA
Rfam family: Bacterial small subunit ribosomal RNA
Source: RNAcentral
AUUGAACGCUGGCGGCGUGCCUAACACAUGCAAGUCGAGCGGUAACAGGUGUAGCAAUACAUGCUGACGAGCGGCGAACGGGUGAGUAAUGCUUCGGAAUCUACCUUAUGGUGGGGAAUAACUAGCCGAAAGGUUAGCUAAUACCGCAUACGUCCUACGGGAGAAAGCAGGGGAUCGUAAGACCUUGCGACCAAAAGAUGAGCCGAAGUCGGAUUAGCUAGUUGGUAGGUAACGGCCACCAAGGCGACGAUCCGUAGCUGGUCUGAGAGGACGACCAGCCACACUGGGACUGAGACACGGCCCA